Molecule: Y RNA, 97 nt
Filed under: Choloepus hoffmanni (Hoffmann's two-fingered sloth)
Lineage: Eukaryota; Metazoa; Chordata; Mammalia; Pilosa; Megalonychidae
Description: Y RNA (ENSCHOG00000014357.1)
Rfam family: Y RNA
About the family: Y RNAs are components of the Ro ribonucleoprotein particle (Ro RNP), in association with Ro60 and La proteins. The Y RNAs and Ro60 and La proteins are well conserved, but the function of the Ro RNP is not known.
Source: RNAcentral
GGCUGCUCCGAGUGCAGUGGAAGUUACAACUAAUUGAUUACAGUCACAGAUUCCUUUGUUCAUUCUCCACUCCCACUGCUUCACUUGACUAGGAAAA